UCCGAUUCGUGUACCAGGCAUUUGUUGCAUUGCACUGGUCUCUGGAGAGCGCUUUAGACAUCUAAGGUUGAACAAUGAAGUUAUACAUGGUUAGCUACCUUUGGUGUCUGUACAUAAUUGCAUUGACCAUAUCUUUUGUGGUGCCUGAAGGGGAACCCAACUCCACAGUAUCAACGACGGACCCAUCGACGAACUCAUCGACAGACACAUCGACGGAUCCAACAACGACGUACCCAUCUUGGCGUCCUGAGGAAUGCGAGGGACCCGAGGAAGACUUCCGAAUUGGCCUAUGUGAGCAACCUCUUAGAGUGGGAGUGUCUUGCGGCCGCACCGGCCAUGAAUAGUGUCACAAGAGGUGGCACUUUAACCGGAAAUUAGGAGGCUGUUUCUACUUUUGGUUUACGGGAUGUGGAGGAAAUAAUAACAGUUUUGCUACCAAGGAGGAUUGCAAAGACACCUGCUGCAAACCGAGUAGAUUUUACAAAAAGUGCAAGUGAUGAGGACAAGAAUCUUCAUAAUCUUCCUUUAAAAUGAAAUAAAUCCAAUGCACACUGCUUA
Long non-coding RNA from Dermacentor albipictus, 558 nucleotides. RefSeq lists it as uncharacterized. Lineage: Eukaryota; Metazoa; Arthropoda; Arachnida; Ixodida; Ixodidae. The record is from RefSeq and is a predicted model, not a curated record.